UACGUAGGGUGCGAGCGUUAAUCGGAAUUACUGGGCGUAAAGCGUGCGCAGGCGGUUCGUUAAGUCAGAUGUGAAAGCCCCGGGCUCAACCUGGGAACUGCAUUUGAAACUGGCGGGCUUGAGUGCGGCAGAGGGGGGUGGAAUUCCGCGUGUAGCAGUGAAAUGCGUAGAGAUGCGGAGGAACACCGAUGGCGAAGGCAGCCCCCUGGGCCGACACCGACGCUCAGGCACGAAAGCGUGGGGAGCAAACAGG
RNAcentral lists this ribosomal RNA (253 nucleotides) under uncultured bacterium. RNAcentral describes it as "partial 16S ribosomal RNA". It matches the Rfam family "Bacterial small subunit ribosomal RNA", at positions 524 to 776 of the family's 1533-position model. The record is from RNAcentral.